This 253-nucleotide ribosomal RNA is filed under the name uncultured bacterium. RNAcentral describes it as "partial 16S ribosomal RNA". It matches the Rfam family "Bacterial small subunit ribosomal RNA", at positions 524 to 776 of the family's 1533-position model. The record is from RNAcentral.
UACGUAGGGGGCAAGCGUUGUCCGGAUUUACUGGGCGUAAAGAGCGUGUAGGCGGCCACGCAGGUCCGUUGUGAAAACUCGAGGCUCAACCUCGAGACGUCGGUGGAAACCGUAUGGCUAGAGUCCGGAAGAGGAGAGUGGAAUUCCUGGUGUAGCGGUGAAAUGCGCAGAUAUCAGGAAGAACACCCGUGGCGAAGGCGGCUCUCUGGGACGGUACUGACGCUGAGGAGCGAAAGCGUGGGGAGCGAACAGG